Molecule: ribosomal RNA, 253 nt
Filed under: uncultured bacterium
Lineage: Bacteria
Description: partial 16S ribosomal RNA
Rfam family: Bacterial small subunit ribosomal RNA
Source: RNAcentral
UACGUAGGUCCCGAGCGUUGUCCGGAUUUAUUGGGCGUAAAGCGAGCGUAGACGGCAGAGCAAGUCCGGAGUGAAAGCCCGGGGCCCAACCCCGGGACUGCUCUGGAAACUGUUAAGCUGGAGUGCGGGAGGGGCAGGCGGAAUUCCUGGUGUAGCGGUGAAAUGCGUAGAUAUCAGGAGGAACACCGGCGGCGAAGGCGGCCUGCUGGACCGUGACUGACGUUGAGGCUCGAAAGCGUGGGGAGCAAACAGG